CCCAAUUCUCACCGUUUUCCUUCGAGCCAGCCCCCACCUUCGUCGAGCUCCUCCCAACCCUCUCCAUCGUACGCCGUUUCCCUUUCUCCCAGCCCCUACCAUUGUUGUUCACCUUCCUCCCAACCCCUACUUCAUCACAGCCCCCAUGAUCGAAGAAGGCAGAAACCCUAGUGUCGCUGAGCUCCUCUAGCGCGUCUCACCGCGAGGAAGAAGAGUAGGCGUCGCGCUCCUCCACUAUCCAGCCACCGUGGAACUUCGAGGAGAGAGAGAGAGGGGUCAAUAGCUAAGCUCGCGUCCGUCACCGCCUCCACUGCCGUCACCGCCGCCGUUGAAGCUCUGCUGCGGCUGCUGCUGCCGUCUGAGCCGCCGCCAGGGGAAGCCGCUGCCGCCAUUACCACGGGUGGAGUCCGCCGUUGAGCUGUGCCCCGUUCAGUUUCACCGUGAGUUUCCUGUCACAAGAGCAAGCCUGAUUAUGUGAGCAAGUCUUAUUCGAAGCAAAAUCCUCUGGGUUUAUAUGAUUUCUGAACACUGCUUGUUGUGAUAGUUACCAAGAAAGAUUGAGUACACCAGAAGAGUAACAUCAUUCAGUAUAGAUGUAGAGAGCAAAAGGGUGACAGUGAUGGGCUACAUUUCUCCAUUGGAAGUCUUUGACAGCAUUUCAAAGCGUGCAAAGAAGGAGGACAAUGAAGAUCCAUCACAAUCUGAGAUGUUUGUUGUAACUCGUACGAGCAAAAAAGGAGAGACUGAUUCGGGAACACAAGAGACAAUUGAACAUCUUCAAAAUUUGAAAGAAGCAGGAUACAAUGAUGAUGACGCAGUUCAAACAGUUUUCGGAAAAGAGAGACAUGGAAGAGUUCGUUUCUAUGGUCGAUCAGUCACAAAAUCCUCUCUUAAAAAGGAGAAGGAAAUCCGACAAAUGCAGCAACAACAUAAUGAAGUGGUUUCAACUAUGGAGAAAAAUUAAAAUAACUUAACUUCCAAGUUGGAUGGUUUAACAAACUUGAUUAAAACGUUGUUGCAACAAGUCAAUCCUGGUAUGAGUGCAGAACAAGUGCAAGUAAUGAUAGAAGCUGCCCAACAAUCUCCGCCUGACGCGAGUAGUGCACCAAAUGAUGCGCGGCGAAGCAUUCCUCCUUCAUUUGGAUCGAACCAUGUAUCAAAGGAUAUCGAAGAAGACAUGAUGUGAUGAAGAAAAUAUGUUCCAUACAAAUAUCACAUGGGAUGGGUCUUACAAUGACCUUAAUUAGUUAUGCAAAUGUAAUAUUUUAAUGUGUUAUGUACUUUUUGAGGUAGUACAUGUAAUUGAAAAAAUUUCACUUUAUUUGGAUUUGUGUUGUUUAGACUAAAGAUUAAAUAUAUCUAUCUUAUAAUGAAACUUUUAUGAUUUAGAUUUCUUUAAUUUCUUAUUUCUAGAUUUAUUUUGUGAUUAUUAUCAUUUUGGGAUGUGAUUAUAAUUUAAAAAAAUUGAAUCUCAUAAACAACAAUAGGCUAUAGUCACCGUUUUAAAAAACCGUGACCAUAGAUAGGGCUAUGGUCAUGUUUUUUAGGGGUGACCAUAGAGGCUAUGGCCACGGUGAAAAAUCGUGACCAUAGAUAGGGCAAAGAGGCUAUGGCCACGGUGAAAAACUGUGACCAUAGAUAGGGUUAUGGUCACGGUUUUAAGGAGGGGGUGACCAU
Molecule: long non-coding RNA, 1677 nt
Organism: Arachis stenosperma
Lineage: Eukaryota; Viridiplantae; Streptophyta; Magnoliopsida; Fabales; Fabaceae
Exons: 6
Source: RefSeq, a predicted model, not a curated record